This 160-nucleotide ribosomal RNA is filed under the name uncultured bacterium. Its description in RNAcentral is "partial 16S ribosomal RNA". It matches the Rfam family "Bacterial small subunit ribosomal RNA", at positions 355 to 507 of the family's 1533-position model. The record is from RNAcentral.
UGAGGAAUAUUGCACAAUGGGCGCAAGCCUGAUGCAGCCAUGCCGCGUGUAUGAAGAAGGCCUUCGGGUUGUAAAGUACUUUCAGCGGGGAGGAAGGUGUUGAGGUUAAUAACCUCAGCAAUUGACGUUACCCGCAGAAGAAGCACCGGCUAACUCCGUG